CUACGGGUUGCAGCAGUGAGGAAUAUUGCACAAUGGGGGGAACCCUGAUGCAGCAACGCCGCGUGGAGGAUGACGCAUUUCGGUGUGUAAACUCCUUUUAUAUGUCAAGAAAAUGACGGUAGCAUAUGAAUAAGCACCGGCUGAACUCCGUGCCAGCAGCUGCGGUAAUACGGAGGGUGCAAGCGUUACUCGGAAUCACUGGGCGUAAAGGACGCGUAGGCGGGUUGGAAAGUCAGGUGUGAAAUCCUACAGCUUAACUGUAGAACUGCACUUGAAACUUCUAAUCUAGAGUAUGGGAGGGGGAGAUGGAAUUAGUGGUGUAGGGGUAAAAUCCGUAGAUAUCACUAGGAAUACCUAAAGCGAAGGCGAUCUCCUGGAACAUUACUGACGCUAAGGCGUGAAAGCGUGGGGAGCAAACAGGAUUAGAUACCCCUGUAGUC
RNAcentral lists this ribosomal RNA (440 nucleotides) under uncultured bacterium. RNAcentral describes it as "partial 16S ribosomal RNA". It matches the Rfam family "Bacterial small subunit ribosomal RNA", at positions 339 to 795 of the family's 1533-position model. The record is from RNAcentral.